CAAUUUUGCACUUCUAGAAAGGGGAAUCAACCUGUGGGUGGGGUCCCAGGAGGAUAGAUAGAUAAAUUCAUACAUAAAUAAAUAAAUAAUAGGGUGUGUGGGUGUGUUUGUCUGUCUGUCAGUAUGUGUGUGCAUGUGUGUGUGCAUUGAACUACUCAGUCCAGUUCAGUCCAGUCCCAGCUGGUUGUGUAUUAAAAACAUUUCUAGUAGAAUAUCACACAUUCAGCAUGAAUGGUGCUGGGGC
RNAcentral lists this long non-coding RNA (244 nucleotides) under Physcomitrium patens. RNAcentral describes it as "long non-coding RNA (PPAT_LNC006450)". The record is from RNAcentral. Lineage: Eukaryota; Viridiplantae; Streptophyta; Bryopsida; Funariales; Funariaceae.